ACACACUUAAAUACAAAGGCCGGGAAGGGUCAGACCACCAUCCGGGUACUCUAAGGUACAUAAAAGAGUCCUCCCUCCCCCUCCUCCUUCACCCCCAAGUGUUUCCCACGACUGCCCUCCCCCACCUCUAGCUGACCAUGGCAUCAGAGGCAGAGAAAACAUUCCAUCGGUUUGCUGCGUUUGGAGAAUCAUCAAGCAGUGGCACUGAAAUGAACAACAAGAACUUCUCCAAGCUGUGCAAAGACUGUGGCAUCAUGGAUGGCAAGACAGUCACCUCCACGGAUGUGGACAUCGUGUUCAGCAAAGUCAAGUGAGGAGCCAAAAAUAUGGAGGUGGGGGUGAGAAGAACCUGCGAGGUAGUUGGCCACGGAAGGGUUCAUGUGGUGGAACAUUUGCAGUGGGCCUACCAAGCACCACAGGGUACCUGGCGCUGUGCUAUUCUUUGUCUUCAAGACACUCACUGAUUGAUAGGACAAAAGAGGCCAAAUCUGAGUGAUGCAAGAGUUGGACCUUGGAAGGUAGUGCAUUCAUGCUCCAAAGUUUCUGGAUUUCUGUCUAACUGAC
Molecule: small RNA, 564 nt
Filed under: Pan troglodytes (chimpanzee)
Lineage: Eukaryota; Metazoa; Chordata; Mammalia; Primates; Hominidae
Description: retained intron
Source: RNAcentral